Molecule: long non-coding RNA, 5170 nt
Filed under: Olea europaea (common olive)
Lineage: Eukaryota; Viridiplantae; Streptophyta; Magnoliopsida; Lamiales; Oleaceae
Description: long non-coding RNA (OEUR_LNC001486)
Source: RNAcentral
AAAAGAGGAAAAACAAUUCUAUUUCUACUUGAAUAGAAUUUACAACUGAGUUUACAAACUCAACAAAAAACCUCUCAAAAGAAUCUCUCUAAUCUCUCCUUUUUUUCUCUCUUCUCUAUCCUAUUUUUCUUCCUCUCAAGGGAAGGAAUCUCUCUUUUAUUGUGGCCUUACCCUCUCUCUAUUGUGGCUUUUUUUUUUCUCUUGGUAAACACCCCUAUUUAUAGAGAAAAAUGUUGCAAGAACCGCCAUAAAUUAUGGCCCAAAAUCUGCCAAACAAACCGCCUCAUAUUGGCCGAAAUUUGCUUGUCAAACCGCCUCAAUUUUCUGGUCCAAAAAUUGCCAGCCAACUGCCUAAAAAUUCUGCCAAAGAGCUGCCAUGAAAAUGCAUGAAACCAGGCUAUUUUCAUGCAAAUUUCCAGCUGUAAUUUAAUGCAUGAAUCAGAAAAUGGUGGCUGCAACGUCUGAGGCGGUUGGGAGCUUCUAGCAUGUGGGAGGUAAGGUGGCUGGAGAAAUUUAAUUGAAAUUGUCUUCCUUUUGCAUGGUUGAUUUUUCAAUUUCUUCAGCUGGAAGAAACUCAAAAAUUGCAGCUGUAAUACGGCAAAAAUACGGCUGGAAUAUAUCAAUUCUCCCCCUCCAGUGGUAUUUAAAUCAAUUGUUAUCUGACAACCAACCCGGCUAUCUCUCUGCAUAGUUCUAACUUCUCCCUUGUAACCACCUUUGUUAACAUAUCUGAUGGAUUCUCAUUUGUGUGAAUCUUUACUAGUCUCAACAGCUGUUGAUCCAUCACCUCUCUUAUCCAGUGAUAGCGAAUGUCAAUGUGCUUUGUUCGAGAGUGAUACAUUGAGUUCUUACUCAAGUCAAGAGCACUCUGGCUGUCACAAUGUACUUUAUAAUCUUUCUGCUUGAUCCCUAAUUCUUGGAGAAAUCUCUUUAACCACAACAUUUCUUUACCUGCUUCCGUCACUGCAAUAUAUUCUGCUUCUGUUGUAGAUAAAGCAACACACUUUUGUAGUCUUGACUGCCAUGAAACAGCUCCCCCUACAAAAGUGUAGAGAAAUCCUGAAGUAGAUUUUCUACUGUCAAGAUCUCCCGUCAUAUCUGAAUCUGUAUAACCUUCCCGUAGCACAGACAUAUCUUUGAUGUACCUUUGAGGCAUUCCCAAAAUCUGUUGAGCUGAGCCUAAGUCCUUCAUGUCGAAGAACUUGGAGAGUUCCUUCUUCAGCUGCCUGAUUUUUGUUGCAUCUCGUCCGACGAUCAGCAUGUCGUCUACAUACAAUAGAAGAGCAACAAAAUUGCCAUCCGAAAAGUGUUGAAUAUAAACGCACUGAUCCGCAGUUGUUCUUUUAUAGCCUUGACUCACCAUGAAAGAGUCAAACUUUUUGUACCAUUGCCUGGGUGCUUGCUUAAGACCAUAUAAGCUCUUCUUUAGCUUACAAACGAAGUUUUCUUUCCCUGAAACUUCAAAACCUUCUGGUUGCUCCAUAUAAAUUUCUUCAUAUAAAUCACCAUGAAGAAAUGCUGUUUUGACAUCCAUCUGUUCAAGCUCUAGAUUUAGAUUGGCUACUAGUCCAAGGAUAACUCGAAUUGAGGCCAUUUUUACAACAGGUGAAAAAAUAUCGUCAAAGUCAACUCCCUUCUUUUGAAGAAAUCCUUUGACUACCAAACGGGCUUUAUGUUUUACCACCUUUCCACUGCCAUCUUUCUUGAGCUUGAAAACCCAUUUAUUCCUUAAUGUCUUCUUUCCCUUCGAAAGCUCAACUAACUCAUAUGUUUAAUUUUUCUGCAGUGACUCCAUCUCAUCCUGCAUUGCUUGUAUCCACUUGUCUUUGUCUACAUGAGUUUGUGCUUCCUGAAAGCUCUCUGGCUCUCCUUCGUCAGUGAGCAAAAGGUACUCUGAUUCUGGAUAUCUCGUUGAUGGAAUCCGUCCUCGUUCAGAUCUUCUUACCUGUGGAUCGUUAAUUUCAGGAGGUGCAUCAUCAUCUGACUGAUGUGAUGGUCCAACAUCUGGUGAAGAGGAUUGUGACUCCCCCUGAUCAAUAUCCCCUUCUUCAUCCUCCUGUUCUGCUUCCGGCAUUUCUUCAUACACAUCGUCGUUAUCUAUGGUGAAUUGUGUUUGUGCUGGAUCUGGAGCAAUAUUUUGGACACCAAAAUUAGAAUUAGGAGAUAUUGUGGGAUUUUCAAUGUCUUCUAAUGUUUGGUUUUCAUGGAACACUACGUCCCUGCUUCUGAUGACCUUCUUUGUCUUUGGAUCCCAUAAUCUGUAUCCAAAUUCCUCAUCGCCAUAGCCUAUAAAGAUGCAUGGAGUGGUCCUUGCAUCUAGCUUUUGUCUUAGCUCCUUGGAUACAUGUGCAAAGGCUAAACAGCCAAAUACUCUCAGGUGAGAGUAGGNNNNNNNNNNNNNNNNNNNNNNNNNNNNNNNNNNNNNNNNNNNNNNNNNNNNNNNNNNNNNNNNNNNNNNNNNNNNNNNNNNNNNNNNNNNNNNNNNNNNNNNNNNNNNNNNNNNNNNNNNNNNNNNNNNNNNNNNNNNNNNNNNNNNNNNNNNNNNNNNNNNNNNNNNNNNNNNNNNNNNNNNNNNNNNNNGCGGUUCGAACAGCUUCUCCCCAAAAUGGCUUUGGCAGCUUAGCCAUACUUAUCAUGCUUCUGACCUUUUCCAUGAUUGUCCGAUUCAUUCUCUCAGCGACUCCAUUAUGUUGUGGAGUACGUGGGACCGUCUUCUCAUGUCGAAUGCCAUAUGUCCUGCAAUAGGCAUCAAACUCUUUGGAAGUAUACUCACCUCCAUUAUCUGUACGGAGACAUUUCAGCUUCUUUCCUAUUUCACGCUCUACCAUGGCAUGAAAUGAUUUGAAGUAAUCCAAUACUUAGUCCUUCCUCUUCAAGAAAUAUACCCAUACCUUUCGAGAAGCGUCAUCAAUGAAUGUUAAAAAAUACUUGUUACCGCCUAGUGAUUCAACCUCUAAGGGACCACAAACAUCAGAGUGUACUAGAUUGAGCAACUCUGAUCGUCUCGUAGAAGAGAAAUUGAAGGAGACUCUAUGUUGCUUACCAAAUAAACAGUGACUGUAAGGAUCCAGUGCAACUUCCUUGGCAACUGUGAUUAGCUCCUUCUUUGUCAAAGUAGACAAUCCCUUCUCACUCAUGUGACCAAGUCUUUGGUGCCACAAAUUUUGAGAAGGUUCACGUUCUACUACGUUGAGGCUAUCCGCAUGCAUUUUCAUAUGAGUCUUGUAUAAAGUGCCACAUAUAUGUCCUCGAGCGACAAGCAUGGAACCUUUCAUCAUUUUCCAUGUGCCAUUGCUAAAUUGAUUUACAUAGCCCUGUUUGUCAAGGGCUAUCCCUGAAAGUAGAUUUAGCCGAAGAUCAGGUACAUGUCGAACGUCCUUCAGGGUUAUUUUACACCCGAGGUUCGUUUGUAUCUUAAUAUCACCAAUUCCUAUAGUCUUAGAAGAACUGGUAUUUCCCAUCUUCACUGCACCAAAAUCACCGGCUUUGUAUGUUGUGAAGAAAUCUUUACGUGAAGUGGCGUGAUAAGAUGCUGCAGUGUCUAUUACCCACUCAAUAUCUUGGUUUGAGACAUGAAGACAUGUCUCUUCAUGGAUGGAGCAGAUAGCCACCUCUCCAGAAAUAGUGACUAGUGUCUCUCCUUCCUUAUUUUUCGACUGUGAACUGUAGUGGCCUUGCUCUCGUAGCAAUUUUCUAUAGUUCUUCUUCAAGUGGCCCUCCAUACCACAAUAGUAGCACUUAUAAGUAGGCUUCCUUCUAUCUAUAGAUCUACCCCUACUUUUGCUUCUACCUCUCCCCCUAUCUCGAAGCUCUCCUUGUUGUCUUCCCCGGUCCACUAUGACAAGGGCAUGUGAUUGGUCGGUGUCUACAUCUUUUCUUCUAGCCUCUUCAUUAAAUAGGGCAUCCUUAACCAUUGACAUGGUAAGUUUGCCAUCAGGGGCUGAGUUGCUAAGAGAUACUACUAAUGUCUCCCAACUAUCAGGAAGAGAACUUAAAAGUAGUAAAGCUUGUAUUUCAUCCCCAAGCGGCAUCUCCACAGAUGACAAUUGGUUUACCAAGCUCUGAAAUUCACUGGUGUGCUCAGCAACUGAAGUUCCACUCUUUAACUUCAGAUUCACCAAACGCCUCAUCAACAGGGCUUUGUUUCGAGCGGUCUUGGCUUGGUACAUGUCCUCCAGAAUCUUCCAGAGAGUAUAUGCAUAUGUCUCUUGUGCCACAUGGUGAAAGACACUAUGGUCAAUCCAUUGUCGAAUUUGACCGAUAGUUUUUCUGUUUAACUUCUUCCACUCCGUCUCCUUGGUAGGAUCGGGGUUUACGCCUUCGGCUUCCAGGGGGUCAUACAAAUCCUAACAACUGAGGAGGUCUUCCAUCCGAGGCCUCCACAGUGUGUAAUUGGUGGCAGUAAGCUUGAUCAUAGCUCCCGAUAAAGAUUCCUCCAUGGCUUAGGCUUGAUCAAAAUCGGAGCUAUAUCAAAACUACGAGGGCCAAUUGAUAAACCUUGCUCUGAUACCACUUGUUGUGAUUCUCCGAUCACGUAAAGAGAAAAUAAAAGAGGAAAAACAAUUCUAUUUCUACUUGAAUAGAAUUUACAACUGAGUUUACAAACUCAACAAAAAACCUCUCAAAAGAAUCUCUCUAAUCUCUCCUUUUUUUCUCUCUUCUCUAUCCUAUUUUUCUUCCUCUCAAGGGAAGGAAUCUCUCUUUUAUUGUGGCCUUACCCUCUCUCUAUUGUGGCUUUUUUUUUUCUCUUGGUAAACACCCCUAUUUAUAGAGAAAAAUGUUGCAAGAACCGCCAUAAAUUAUGGCCCAAAAUCUGCCAAACAAACCGCCUCAUAUUGGCCGAAAUUUGCUUGUCAAACCGCCUCAAUUUUCUGAUCCAAAAAUUGCCCGCCAACUGCCUAAAAAUUCUGCCAAAGAGCUGCCAUGAAAAUGCAUGAAAUCAGGCUAUUUUCAUGCAAAUUUCCAGCUGUAAUUUAAUGCAUGAAUCAGAAAAUGGUGGCUGCAACGUCUGAGGCGGUUGGGAGCUUCUAGCAUGUGGGAGGUAAGGUGGCUGGAGAAUUUUAAUUGAAAUUGUCUUCCUUUUGCAUGGUUGAUUUUUCAAUUUCUUCAGCUGGAAGAAACUCAAAAAUUGCAGCUGUAAUACGGCAAAAAUACGACUGGAAUAUAUCAG